This 27-nucleotide non-coding RNA is filed under the name Mus musculus (house mouse). The record is from RNAcentral. Lineage: Eukaryota; Metazoa; Chordata; Mammalia; Rodentia; Muridae.
UCUAAAGGAUGCUUGGGGUCUUGUAGA